This 379-nucleotide ribosomal RNA is filed under the name uncultured bacterium. RNAcentral's name for it is "bacterial SSU rRNA". It matches the Rfam family "Bacterial small subunit ribosomal RNA", at positions 523 to 898 of the family's 1533-position model. The record is from RNAcentral.
AUACGUAGGUGGCAAGCGUUGUCCGGAUUUAUUGGGCGUAAAGGAUGCGUAGGUGGAUAUUUAAGUCAGAUGUGAAAACCCCGAGCUUAACUUGGGGACUGCAUUUGAAACUGGGUAUCUAGAGUGCAGGAGAGGAAAGCAGAAUUCCUAGUGGAGUGGUGAAAUGCGUAGAGAUUAGGAAGAAUACCAGUGGCGAAGGCGGCUUUCUGGACUGUAACUGACACUGAGGCAUGAAAGCGUGGGGAGCAAACAGGAUUAGAUACCCUGGUAGUCCACGCUGUAAAUGAUGAGUAUUAGGUAUAGGAGGUAUCGACCCCUUCUGUGCCGUUAAGUUAACACGUUAAAUACUCCGCCUGGGGACUACGAUCGCAAGAUUAAA